Molecule: long non-coding RNA, 419 nt
Organism: Spinacia oleracea (spinach)
Lineage: Eukaryota; Viridiplantae; Streptophyta; Magnoliopsida; Caryophyllales; Amaranthaceae
Exons: 5
Source: RefSeq, a predicted model, not a curated record
GAAAUGAUGAAAGUAGAAUAUUUAGGCUUUUGCUUUGUAUUAUUUAAGUAGACCUUAUGACCUAAUUAUCUUCCUUUCAGGCCACAGAUUACUACGGAAAAGCUGUGCAGUUGAAUUGGAAUAGUCCCCAGGCGCUUAACAACUGGGGACUUGCACUGCAGGAACUCAGUGCGAUAGUCCCUGCUAAGGAAAAGCAUAACAUUGUUAAGACGGCAAUUAGUAAGUUCCGUGCAGCAAUUCAGUUGCAGUUUGACUUUCAUAGGGCUAUUUACAACCUCGGAACUGUUUUGUAUGGCUUAGCCGAGGACUUGCUAAGAAUCGGGGGAUCAGUCAGCCAUAAUGAUAUUUCGCCCAAUGACUUGUAUAGUCAGUGCGCUGUCUUUAUUGCAGCUGCUCACGCAUUGAAGCCAAAUUACUCG